CCUGUCUCAGCGUGUUGAAAUCCUGGCCGUUGAAUCGCAGGGGUUUGUUCAGAGACCCUUCUCCGUCUCUCCUCUCUCUCUCCCGGAUCAGCCGGUCGCAGAAAAAGCCCGACGCGGUUGAUUAUUCACCUGACAUUAGCACAGUCACCGCAGACGGUCGGCGCUUUACACCCAGGAUGGUGACGGAGCGUACAGUGGUAUCACAGUGAUAGGACCCAUCGUCAGUGGCAGAACUGAGCAGUGUCAUUAACAGAAACAACAACAAUAGACAUGACGUCAUCAUCAAUCAGGAGGUGCGACUGUGACUCACCGACAGAGCAGACGUCCUGACAGCAGGCUGAACCUGCGCAGACAGAAGGACUUUCUGUCUCUGUAGCUGAAUGAGUGGCCAUCGUCCAGGUACAACUCACCGUCAGCAGCUCCCUGCAGAGGAGAGCCACCGUGAGUGACAGAGGUAGCUGCUGCUGCUCAGCUGUGCAGGAACCACUCCCUGUUGACCUGCAGACCACUGAUCCACCACGCUGGAACAUAGGAACCUUUACACAAACAGAUCCAGGAAGUAAGAGCUGGACUUCCUGAACCCCAGGGUCAGUGACAGGAGAGACCAGCAGAGCUCCUCCUGCAUCAGACCAGAGAAAACAUCUGAAACAGCGGCCAAUCAGGAUCAGCUUUGAUGUGAGGAUCAUUAAUAACCACCAGCUACAAACAAAGAGACACAGGUGGCGCUGCAAUCCAGCAGGAUCAGGAAAAUGAACAUGGUCCCAAGUGAAGUAACGCUUCCCAUCAGUGUGCUCAAUGUCCAACCAGAUGACGUCGUAGGGGAUGUGGUGAAGAUCGAAUCCAGCAUCAACAGACUUGAC
Molecule: long non-coding RNA, 860 nt
Organism: Cynoglossus semilaevis (tongue sole)
Lineage: Eukaryota; Metazoa; Chordata; Actinopteri; Pleuronectiformes; Cynoglossidae
Exons: 7
Source: RefSeq, a predicted model, not a curated record